AAAAUUGGCUAAUCAGAUUUUUGUGCUGAUUAAUGAGGGAAAGUUUUUACUCUUUUUGUGGAAAGUAAUAUACAUAUUCAUGUUGGAAUAUAAUUAUUCCCAUUUCUUAGAUUUUAAAUUACUACUUUUAAAUAAAUACAGUCUCUUUUAUUAACCUGUGUUUUUUCUUUCCACCGUGGGUCUUUUCAGUUUCAUGAUUUUGCUCUCAAAACUUUUUAAUUAUUGAUUUCUGUCAAAUCUGUUCAUUCAUUACAUUAUUUUAUUAUUUAUUAAAUUGUUUUAUCUUUUUAAGUCUUAUUAAUAUGUACUGAAUUUGUAACAAUUUGGAAAGUCAAGUAACUCCUGUUUUAUCUUUUUCUUGGUUUAUGAGUGUUUUUAAAGUUUUACGUUUCUUGAAGAUCACAGCUGUAGCCCCAAUUCCAUGGUUCUGGCUACUUACAUUUAUCAUACUUAUUAAUAUCAUGAAUGUAAUUGGAAUACCCCUUUGAUUUUACUGGUGACGUAUACCCACUAGUGUACUGAGACGGAAAAAAAAGUCUUUAGAACUCAGAUAAAUAUACAGUUCAUAUUUACUAUUUAUGUAUGUGUGAUCUCAUUAUUAAAUUACUCUAUCAUGUUUGUGGAA
This 625-nucleotide long non-coding RNA is filed under the name Homo sapiens (human). RNAcentral's name for it is "novel transcript, antisense to ZNF596". Lineage: Eukaryota; Metazoa; Chordata; Mammalia; Primates; Hominidae. The record is from RNAcentral.